UGUGACUGGAGGGUUCUGGGGACAUCAUUGUAGUUCUUGGAAAGCGGCUGGGUGGAAAACUGGUAGAUCAUGGGGAUAUAAUCCCUUGAUAGAGUUGACAAAGAUGGGAAACCCCUACUCUCUAGAAUGACCUUAAGUAAAAAUAUUGGGUCAACCCCAAUCAAACUCACCUUAAACAUAGAGCACCCCAGUCCAGGGGAUGCAGGGGAAUAUGUAAUGGGUAUGUACUGGAAGGGCGGUGACUCAUAUAACAAGUUGGGGACAUUCUUCCUACAAGACAUGCUCACCUCACCUGAUUGGGUAGGUACGACUCACAUGACUGUCAACCAACUUAAACCUCACAUUAAGACUUUAUAUGAUAUGGUUGCUAUUGCCAAUCCCACCUUUGAAGACACUAUGGCAGUAGAAACUGGGCUCUCAGACACCAACCUAUGGCUGGAAUGGAUGAGAUAUAAUGCUAACUCACACAAUAAGACUAACUGUUAUGUAUGGGGGGGAGCUAGGCCCCACCUGGGCACGGUGCCUUUAAACCUACCUCCCAAUGUUGAAUUAUGUGUCCUGAGUCUUUAUGCACAAUCUACCACUAACUCCUCAACAUGUGAAUCAUGGAAAAAGGUCUACCCAAUCACCCAGGGACACGUUAGACCACCUGAUGGAGUCACGGUAUACCCAGGUAACUACGCUUGCUAUUCAAUACCUAAGAACACAGGUACAUUUAUGGGCAAAUUCCCAUCUGGUUAUUGCUCUACCUAUCAUAAUCCACCCACGACACUGUUAACGAACUAUGCAAAAACAGUUGGGAAUAUUUAUUGGCUGUGUGGUGAUAAGCAACUGAGAUCCCAACUUACGGGACUAUGGUGGGGAGAAUGCACACUAACUAAGGCCAUAAUGCCCAUCCAUAUUAUCCCGGAUGGCCAUCACAAUGCGUUUGAUCCCACACACACACACUCCAGAGUCAAUCCGUGGUAGCUUUGAUCCACAUGUUUAUAUUGUUGCCAUUGGUGUGCCAAGGGGGGUACCCAACAAAUUUAAAGCUAGGGAUGAGGUUGCCGCUGGCUUUGAGUCCCUGCUUCCAUUAAUCACUGUCAAUAAGAAUGUUAAUUGGAUUAAUUAUAUCUAUUACAUCCAACAGCGGUUUGUUAACUAUACUAGAGAUGCCCUACAGGGACUAGCAGAACAGCUGCAAGCUACCACCCAAAUGACAUUUCAAAACAGAAUGGCUCUGAAUAUGAUUCUAGCAAAAAAGGGGGGCGUAUGUAAAAUCCUCCCCGAGACCAUGACAUGCUGUACAUUCAUUCCAUAUAAUACUGGGCCAAAUGGUAAAGUAACUAUGGCAAUAGAGAAAUUAGACAGCCUCUCAGAUGAAUUACAGAAGAAUUCAGGGAUCACUAAUGUAUGGGACAGAUGGUUUGGACGGAUGAAUGGUUGACAGAGAACCCUAUUCCAAGUUGGGACAGCAGUCCUCACAAUGAUCAUCAUCUUCCUGUUGCUAACUUGUUGUGUACUACCUUGCAUACAAAAGUAUUUACAGAAGACAGUAGGGAACACUAUAGACAACAUAACCCCUACUUUACUACACUAAGACGUCACUGACCUAGAAUGUGACACACCACAUACACCCCUCCAAUCCCACCAAUUCAGACAGACAACUGCAUUUUCAUAGGGAUAGCAUUGGGAAAGCGUCUGUCUCUACAGGCGAGUCUCACGUGCGGAGAUGUGGUGGACUAGCCGCUGCCGGUUACCCACUUCAGUGUUUGAUGCUUGUUAAGGCAGAUGAGCCGCAGGCAGCUAGGGACAUAUUAGGGACAGUAGCAGUUGUUAUGGUAAAUAGUCAUUUUAAGGGGGGACUGUUGUGGAAAUGAGAUAUUAACAUAAUUUUAGCUACUAAAAUGUCUAUUUACUCCAUUUAGUUAUACUCAAUAUUAUUCAAUAAAUUACUAAACUGACCACUAGAUGCCACUCGGGAGUACCCCACCCAUCGACCAAACACUCUAAUUUUCAAGAUGGCGCAUGACGACAGUAAUGACAUAAGAUGGCACACCCAGUAGGACGUGCUUUGAAUAAAACACUUAACACUUAACCAAUUAUUGAUGUAUUAUUUCAUGUUAUCUCUGACAGUGCUUAUGAUAUAAUUGUGCUUUAUAAGGGACAUGUCGUCCCCCCUGAAUAAACAUUCC
Molecule: non-coding RNA, 2177 nt
Organism: Pelobates cultripes (western spadefoot toad)
Lineage: Eukaryota; Metazoa; Chordata; Amphibia; Anura; Pelobatidae
Source: the annotation of a GenBank genome assembly